CAGAGAAGACUAACCGAAGCUCGAUGGGCUCACGAAAACCGAACCCAGAGAAACAGAGAAUAGGCGUUUGGUCACUUUCAUCACCCCCGUACUACUAGUUGCUCCAAGAUUCCAUUUUGACGAGGAAAGAAACAUCUGCCCCGAACCCGCCUUUGCUCCUUUUCACCGUUAUCCCAU
Caenorhabditis elegans is the source of this 177-nucleotide non-coding RNA. NCBI's taxonomy places the organism in Eukaryota, Metazoa, Nematoda, Chromadorea, Rhabditida, Rhabditidae. The record is from Ensembl.